CCUACGGGAGGCAGCAGUGGGGAAUAUUGGACAAUGGACCAAAAGUCUGAUCCAGCAAUUCUGUGUGCACGAUGAAGGUCUUCGGAUCGUAAAGUGCUUUCAGGUGGGAAGAAAAAAAUGACGGUACCACCAGAAGAAGCGACGGCUAAAUACGUGCCAGCAGCCGCGGUAAUACGUAUGUCGCAAGCGUUAUCCGGAAUUAUUGGGCGUAAAGCGCGUCUAGGCGGCCUUUUAAGUCUGAUGUGAAAAUGCGGGGCUCAACUCCGUAUUGCGUUGGAAACUGGAAGGCUAGAGUAUCAGAGAGGUGGGCGGAACUACAAGUGUAGAGGUGAAAUUCGUAGAUAUUUGUAGGAAUGCCGAUUGGGAAGCCAGCUCACUGGAUGAAUACUGACGCUGAAGCGCGAAAGCGUGGGGAGCAAACGGGAUUAGAUACCCCGGUAGUCCACGCCGCAAACGAUGAUCACUAAGUGUGGGGGGUCGAACCUCCGUGCUCAAGCUAACGCGAUAAGUGAUCCGCCUGGGGAGUACGCACGCAAGUGUGAAACUCAAAGGAAUUGACGGA
Molecule: ribosomal RNA, 562 nt
Filed under: uncultured bacterium
Lineage: Bacteria
Description: bacterial SSU rRNA
Rfam family: Bacterial small subunit ribosomal RNA
Source: RNAcentral